ACGUAAAAUGAAAGCACCUAACGGCAGCUCGCCUGCACAAAUGUAAGGGUUUCCAUCCUUUUCAAUCCCAUGAAGCACUGAAACACACGUGCAAGUGUGAGUUAAGGCUUCCUUCUUCCCUCUUGCCCCGCGCGCGGAGGGCGGGGACCGUGGCAUCCCCGGGGCUGAGGCCGCCCGCCUGACCCAGCCCAGGCACAGGCUGAUUUCUAACUCCCUGCAGGGGCUGCAGACCCCGAGCCCAAGGACAGAGGCCUGCAGAGCAGCUCCAGCCCAGCUGCCGACGCCCAGGACCAGAACCUCUAUGCCGCCGUGAACGACACACAGCCUGCGGAGGGGGUGCAGCUGGACCAUCAGGCUGCAGCAUCUGAAGCCCCCCAGGAUGUGACCUACGCCCAGCUGACCCACUCAACCCUCAGACGGGAGACGAUUGCAGCCCCUCCCUCCCAGUCGGGGGAGCCCCCCGCAGAGCCCAGCGUGUACGCCACACUAGCCAUCCACUAGCCCAGGGGACCCAGAGCCCGCGCUCUGGGGGGGAGACUGCAGGGACGCCGGAAGGUGCAGAAGCUG
Non-coding RNA from Vicugna pacos (alpaca), 567 nucleotides. Lineage: Eukaryota; Metazoa; Chordata; Mammalia; Artiodactyla; Camelidae. The record is from RefSeq and is a predicted model, not a curated record.